GAGAAAAAAAGUCUGAAGGGAGUUUUCGAGAGAGAGUGAGUUUUAGAGGAAAAAAAAUCUGGAAAUUUUUUCAGAUUUGAAAUCAAUUGAUAAACAAGGUUUAUAGAUCUCUUCUUCUUCUUCUUCUUCUUUAUAACAGAUUUGAACGAGAUUUCGCUGUGUUUCUUUAUCGGAGUUAAGCAACAGAAUUGACGAGAUCUGACUUUUAUUCAACAAAUUGAGAUCGUGAAUUUGUGUUCAACAUAAUAUUUGGUUGCAGAGAUCGUGAAUUAAUGAUGAUUCUAUACGAUUGAUUGGUCGAAUUACGAAUUAUUUGAACUCGAGAUCGUGAUUCAUCUCUUAAACAGGUCAAACAUGGUUGUUGCAGAGUUUAGAUUUUGCAAUAUGAGCGUCUCGCAUCUUGUUUCGGAAACAAUUAUAAUCAGCGUGAUGAUAAUUGUGGCCAAAAAAAAUUGGCCUUUUGUUCCUGAAGACCUCAUGUUGUUUGGUUACACUGUAGAUGGGAUGUCAAGUUUCAUUCACAACUGCAGCACGAAAGGGCUUGACGUGUUGAAGUUGUUUCACUACGACAUUUUUUUUGCAUAUUUUUGAGGUUUCAUACUAGUUUGAUGUUUUUUUUAUGCCUUUUGGUCUGGACUUGUUAUGUAUUUAAUGACAUACAUUCUGGUUUAUUUUUAUAUAGUGGAUUGCCCGUGCCAUAAUGGCACGGGGACGGAAGGGGUGUUGGCGAUCUAUUUGAAGCACAGUUUAUUUUUAAAACUAUAAUUUUACUCGAGCUGUAUGUAAUUUUCUUUUUUUAGUUAAUCUAUAAAAUUAUGCGCCAAUGUAAUGUACGCGUUGACGAAGAUUA
Papaver somniferum (opium poppy) is the source of this 850-nucleotide long non-coding RNA. RefSeq lists it as uncharacterized. The transcript has 3 exons. The record is from RefSeq and is a predicted model, not a curated record. NCBI's taxonomy places the organism in Eukaryota, Viridiplantae, Streptophyta, Magnoliopsida, Ranunculales, Papaveraceae.